This 107-nucleotide non-coding RNA is filed under the name bovine gut metagenome. RNAcentral's name for it is "FMN riboswitch (RFN element)". It matches the Rfam family "FMN riboswitch aptamer (RFN element)". Rfam says of the family: The RFN element is a highly conserved domain that is found frequently in the 5'-untranslated regions of prokaryotic mRNAs that encode for flavin mononucleotide (FMN) biosynthesis and transport proteins. This element is a metabolite-dependent riboswitch that directly binds FMN in the absence of proteins. The record is from RNAcentral.
AUCUUCAGGGCAGGGUGCAAGUCCCUACCGGUGGUACAGCCCACGAGCCGCAAGGCAUGAUUCGGUGAAACUCCGAAGCCGACAGUAUAGUCUGGAUGAAAGAAGGU